GAUGAACGCUGGCGGCGUGCCUAAUACAUGCAAGUCGAGCGGUAACACUUCGGGUGACGAGCGGCGGACGGCAGAGUAACGCGUAGGGACGUACCCCAAACUGAGGGAUAACUCCGGGAAACCGGGGCUAAUACCGCAUGUGAUCUUCGGAUUAAAGCUUCGGCGGUUUGGGAACGGCCUGCGUAUGAUUAGCUUGUUGGCGAGGUAAAAGCUCACCAAGGCGACGAUCAUUAGCUGGUCUGAGAGGAUGAUCAGCCUGACUGGGACUGAGACACGGCCCAGACUCCUACGGGAGGCAGCAGUAGGGAAUUUUCCACAAUGGGGGCAACCCUGAUGGAGCAACGCCGCGUGCAGGAUGAAGGCCUUCGGGUUGUAAACUGCUUUUCUCUGUGACGAUUAUGACGGUAACAGAGGAAUAAGGGUCUGCUAACUACGUG
RNAcentral lists this ribosomal RNA (437 nucleotides) under uncultured bacterium. RNAcentral describes it as "bacterial SSU rRNA". It matches the Rfam family "Bacterial small subunit ribosomal RNA", at positions 28 to 507 of the family's 1533-position model. The record is from RNAcentral.